RNAcentral lists this ribosomal RNA (32 nucleotides) under Clavulina rugosa. RNAcentral describes it as "partial 18S ribosomal RNA". Lineage: Eukaryota; Fungi; Basidiomycota; Agaricomycetes; Cantharellales; Hydnaceae. The record is from RNAcentral.
UUUCCGUAAGGUGACCUGCGGAAGGAUCAUUA